Molecule: long non-coding RNA, 504 nt
Organism: Chrysemys picta bellii (western painted turtle)
Lineage: Eukaryota; Metazoa; Chordata; Testudines; Emydidae
Source: RefSeq, a predicted model, not a curated record
CCGAUGAGCGCAGGGCUCUGCCCCGCAGCUGGCGGCCGCGGCGCGGGGACCGCAGCUCCGCCCUCGUCCCAUUCCACUGGACGAAGCUGUGCAGCGAGCUGCGGUGGGGCCACAUGGCAGAGAGGGAGGAGGGGCAGGAUCAGGGCUCCCCUCCUGGGCCGGGAAGGCUCCGCACCCCGGCAAGUCCCGCGGUCCCAGCCCUGCCCGCCUCGCCCCUGGGGAGACUCACUGUGGUUCAGGGGGUGCCCGCUGGUCUCCGCCGACGCCACCAGCUCCAGGCCUUGAAGUUAGGAGCAAUCUGCUUUGGCGCUCUAGAAGUUUCCUGUAACAGAUUUCCCUACCUGGUGUGAGAGAGAGACUUUACAAAAGAAUAACUUUUCUAUAACUGACGCUCUGAACAAAGGACUGAAUGACCCAUCCAAGCUGUGGAUGUGUUCCAGAGUGAUUUUCAAGCCAGCCAACUCACCAACACUGCUAAGAACCUGAUACAACAUGGACUUUGUA